Molecule: ribosomal RNA, 131 nt
Filed under: Sporosarcina sp. HYO08
Lineage: Bacteria; Bacillati; Bacillota; Bacilli; Caryophanales; Caryophanaceae
Description: partial 23S ribosomal RNA
Rfam family: Bacterial large subunit ribosomal RNA
Source: RNAcentral
CUCAAGAUGAGAUUUCCCAUUACAUUUGUAAGUAAGAUCCCUCAAAGAUGAUGAGGUGGAUAGGUCUGGGGUGGAAGCACGGCGACGUGUGGAGCUGACAGAUACUAAUCGAUCGAGGACUUAACCUAAUU